UUUUGAUGAUGAUCCAGCUAA
Non-coding RNA from Caenorhabditis elegans, 21 nucleotides. The record is from Ensembl. NCBI's taxonomy places the organism in Eukaryota, Metazoa, Nematoda, Chromadorea, Rhabditida, Rhabditidae.